AUGAACGCUGGCGGCGUGCCUAACACAUGCAAGUCGAACGGAGAUUACGGACGGAAGUUUUCGGAUGGAAGACUGUAAUUCUUAGUGGCGGACGGGUGAGUAACGCGUGGGCAACCUGCCCUAUACAGGGGGAUAGCAGCUGGAAACGGCUGGUAAGACCGCAUAAGUCGGUUAAAUCGCAUGAUUUGAUCGGGAAAUGAGCAAUCAGGUAUAGGAUGGGCCCGCGUCCGAUUAGCCAGUUGGCAGGGUAAAAGCCUACCAAAGCGACGAUCGGUAGCCGGACUGAGAGGUCGGACGGCCACAUUGGGACUGAGACACGGCCCAAACUCCUACGGGAGGCAGCAGUGGGGGAUAUUGCACAAUGGAGGAAACUCUGAUGCAGCGACGCCGCGUGAGUGAAGAAGUAUUUCGGUAUGUAAAGCUCUAUCAGCAGGGAAGAUGAUGACGGUACCUGACUAAGAAGCCCCGGCUAACUACGUG
RNAcentral lists this ribosomal RNA (480 nucleotides) under uncultured bacterium. Its description in RNAcentral is "partial 16S ribosomal RNA". It matches the Rfam family "Bacterial small subunit ribosomal RNA", at positions 29 to 507 of the family's 1533-position model. The record is from RNAcentral.